This is a long non-coding RNA of Lolium perenne, 1106 nucleotides long. RefSeq lists it as uncharacterized. NCBI's taxonomy places the organism in Eukaryota, Viridiplantae, Streptophyta, Magnoliopsida, Poales, Poaceae. The record is from RefSeq and is a predicted model, not a curated record.
CCACUUACUCACACUCCUCUCCUACCUCUCCCCCACGAAAUCCUGCUCCACCUAGCUACCAUGGCCGGCCAUGGCCAUGGGAAGCCUCCAAGAUGAAGCUCUCCCCCUCCCUCAAGCUCCUCCUCCCCAUGAGAGCAUUCCUCUCACUCUCUUCUCCCCCCCAACCCUAGCUGGUUUCCUCUCCUCCUUUUCUUCCUCCAUUGCUAAGAUUGGAUCUUGAUGCAGGUGCAUGUUGGUCCAAGCAUGGAGAAGGUUGAGCAAUCCUCAGAUCUGAAGUUCUUGAGCAAAAUCCAAAUCAAGUGAUUCAAAGUUCCUCAGAUAGGUAUUGAAAAGAUAUACAACUUGGCGUUGGUCUCAUCCUCAAAUUCGUUACGGAUUUUGCAUGAUCAAGAUCUGGUCAGAUCUGACUUUGUCGAAUUAAACCAGGAGCUUGGGAACGAAUUUUUGAAUGAAACCAAUUGGGGGAUAUUUGGUUUAUACCAUGGUGAUAACCGAGAGAGGCAAUUGCUAAGUUGUGAUGCACUCAUACCUUUACUAGAUGCGAACAAUUCCGGAGAAGAAGAAGAAGGGGAAUCGGAUGAGAAGAUUAUUUAUAUUGUUGGAAUUCUUAUAUUGAUGGAGUUGAAGAAGUACAGGGACAAAUAAGCCAAGGCAAGCCAUCUUUUGACCUCUGAUUCGGUGUCUAGUUGGAUGUCAUUUGUUGAUGUCCAAAGCACCUUGGUUCUAUGUGUGUUGUUCUCCUUAUUAUUGUCAUAUAUGUAUGGUUGCUAGUGGAGUACUCCCUAGUGGUGAUACUCCACUAUUGUCUUUGUGAUUAUGGGAUGCAUGGUAUCAUGGCCGUGCUAUUCCUCUUGGUUAUCUUGUAUGCUCGACUUGAGCAUGUUCCAUCUCAAGAUAAUGACUUACACUACACCCACCACUUUUGUAGUAUAGAGGUAUCAAUGUCAUGAUCUUGGUGUAUUCUCAACUUGAGAGGAGUAUGCCGUGUACCCAUUGGAGAGUAUGUUGGAUAGUGAUAAUCCACUAUCUAAGUUGUAUAUUUAGCACCACAAAUCUGAAAGUAUAAUCCUCCUUGUGUGGUCAUAGUACAUGCUUACCUUAAGCAA